Molecule: long non-coding RNA, 372 nt
Organism: Gallus gallus (chicken)
Lineage: Eukaryota; Metazoa; Chordata; Aves; Galliformes; Phasianidae
Source: Ensembl
UCAGGCUGCUGCUGCUCAGCUCUCACUUCUCAAAGUCAGCUAUUCCCCUUUCCCUGCCUUGCCUACGAUCAUUUCCAAAGGAUGGGACUGUGAAGCAGAACCGCGGAUCGAAAGGUUUUUCAUUGCCCCCCCGCGACGUCAGAAAUAUUGGGCUGGCUGACGUCCCUUCCCUUCCCCACUCAGCUUAUGGUCCCGAGAUCUUCCAGUGCCGGAGAUGAUUACGAAUGGCAAGGUGGCUGAAUCCUGGCACAGGAGAUAGGACAGCGUGACCCCAACGAGCUACCUGAUAGACAUGGCAAAACAAAAACAUCCUUGAUUUCUUCUUGCAUGUUUUGGAGGACAUGAGCGAGUAGUGCCUGAAAUAAAGAGUCC